UUAAGCGACCAAGCGUACACGGUGGAUGCCCUGGCAGUCAGAGGCGAUGAAGGACGUGCUAAUCUGCGAUAAGCGCCGGUAAGGUGAUAUGAACCGUUAUAACCGGCGAUUUCCGAAUGGGGAAACCCAGUGUGAUUCGUCACACUAUCAUUAACUGAAUCCAUAGGUUAAUGAGGCGAACCGGGGGAACUGAAACAUCUAAGUACCCCGAGGAAAAGAAAUCAACCGAGAUUCCCCCAGUAGCGGCGAGCGAACGGGGAGGAGCCCAGAGCCUGAAUCAGCAUGUGUGUUAGUGGAACGGUCUGGAAAGGCCGGCGAUACAGGGUGACAGCCCCGUACAUGAAAACACACCUGUUGUGAGCUCGAUGAGUAGGGCGGGACACGUGGUAUCCUGUCUGAAUAUGGGGGGACCAUCCUCCAAGGCUAAAUACUCCUGACUGACCGAUAGUGAACCAGUACCGUGAGGGAAAGGCGAAAAGAACCCCGGCGAGGGGAGUGAAACAGAACCUGAAACCGUGUACGUACAAGCAGUGGGAGCCCCACCACCAAAGCGUUUCGCUUUGUGUGGUGCACAAAGAAGCGUAACGACAGCACUGGCUGACGGUUAACGGAGCGUAAGCGACGUUCAACACAAAAAUCAGGCAGUGGAGCGCUUUGGGGUGGGGUGACUGCGUACCUUUUGUAUAAUGGGUCAGCGACUUAUAUUCUGUAGCAAGGUUAACCGAAUAGGGGAGCCGAAGGGAAACCGAGUCUUAAUUGGGCGUUAAGUUGCAGGGUAUAGACCCGAAACCCGGUGAUCUAGCCAUGGGCAGGUUGAAGGUUGGGUAACACUAACUGGAGGACCGAACCGACUAAUGUUGAAAAAUUAGCGGAUGACCUGUGGCUGGGGGUGAAAGGCCAAUCAAACCGGGAGAUAGCUGGUUCUCCCCGAAAGCUAUUUAGGUAGCGCCUCGUGAAUUCAUCUCCGGGGGUAGAGCACUGUUUCGGCUAGGGGGCCAUCCCGGCUUACCAACCCGAUGCAAACUGCGAAUACCGGAGAAUGUUAUCACGGGAGACACACGGCGGGUGCUAACGUCCGUCGUGAAGAGGGAAACAACCCAGACCGCCAGCUAAGGUCCCAAAGUCAUGGUUAAGUGGGAAACGAUGUGGGAAGGCCCAGACAGCCAGGAUGUUGGCUUAGAAGCAGCCAUCAUUUAAAGAAAGCGUAAUAGCUCACUGGUCGAGUCGGCCUGCGCGGAAGAUGUAACGGGGCUAAACCAUGCACCGAAGCUGCGGCAGCGACGCUUAGGCGUUGUUGGGUAGGGGAGCGUUCUGUAAGCCGUUGAAGGUGUGUCGUGAGGCAUGCUGGAGGUAUCAGAAGUGCGAAUGCUGACAUAAGUAACGAUAAAGCGGGUGAAAAGCCCGCUCGCCGGAAGACCAAGGGUUCCUGUCCAACGUUAAUCGGGGCAGGGUGAGUCGACCCCUAAGGCGAGGCCGAAAGGCGUAGUCGAUGGGAAACGGGUUAAUAUUCCCGUACUUGGUGUUACUGCGAAGGGGGGACGGAGAAGGCUAUGUUGGCCGGGCGACGGUUGUCCCGGUUUAAGCGUGUAGGUGUGUGUUCCAGGUAAAUCCGGUUCACUUUAACACUGAGGCGUGACGACGAGGCACCACGGUGCUGAAGCAACAAAUGCCCUGCUUCCAGGAAAAGCCUCUAAGCAUCAGGUAACAUCAAAUCGUACCCCAAACCGACACAGGUGGUCAGGUAGAGAAUACCAAGGCGCUUGAGAGAACUCGGGUGAAGGAACUAGGCAAAAUGGUGCCGUAACUUCGGGAGAAGGCACGCUGACAUGUAGGUGAAGUGAUUUACUCAUGGAGCUGAAGUCAGUCGAAGAUACCAGCUGGCUGCAACUGUUUAUUAAAAACACAGCACUGUGCAAACACGAAAGUGGACGUAUACGGUGUGACGCCUGCCCGGUGCCGGAAGGUUAAUUGAUGGGGUCAGCGCAAGCGAAGCUCCUGAUCGAAGCCCCGGUAAACGGCGGCCGUAACUAUAACGGUCCUAAGGUAGCGAAAUUCCUUGUCGGGUAAGUUCCGACCUGCACGAAUGGCGUAAUGAUGGCCAGGCUGUCUCCACCCGAGACUCAGUGAAAUUGAACUCGCUGUGAAGAUGCAGUGUACCCGCGGCAAGACGGAAAGACCCCGUGAACCUUUACUAUAGCUUGACACUGAACAUUGAGCCUUGAUGUGUAGGAUAGGUGGGAGGCUUUGAAGCGUGGACGCCAGUCUGCGUGGAGCCGACCUUGAAAUACCACCCUUUAAUGUUUGAUGUUCUAACGUGGACCCGUAAUCCGGGUUGCGGACAGUGUCUGGUGGGUAGUUUGACUGGGGCGGUCUCCUCCUAAAGAGUAACGGAGGAGCACGAAGGUUGGCUAAUCCUGGUCGGACAUCAGGAGGUUAGUGCAAUGGCAUAAGCCAGCUUGACUGCGAGCGUGACGGCGCGAGCAGGUGCGAAAGCAGGUCAUAGUGAUCCGGUGGUUCUGAAUGGAAGGGCCAUCGCUCAACGGAUAAAAGGUACUCCGGGGAUAACAGGCUGAUACCGCCCAAGAGUUCAUAUCGACGGCGGUGUUUGGCACCUCGAUGUCGGCUCAUCACAUCCUGGGGCUGAAGUAGGUCCCAAGGGUAUGGCUGUUCGCCAUUUAAAGUGGUACGCGAGCUGGGUUUAGAACGUCGUGAGACAGUUCGGUCCCUAUCUGCCGUGGGCGCUGGAGAACUGAGGGGGGCUGCUCCUAGUACGAGAGGACCGGAGUGGACGCAUCACUGGUGUUCGGGUUGUCAUGCCAAUGGCACUGCCCGGUAGCUAAAUGCGGAAGAGAUAAGUGCUGAAAGCAUCUAAGCACGAAACUUGCCCCGAGAUGAGUUCUCCCUGAGACUUUAAGUCUCCUGAAGGAACGUUGAAGACGACGACGUUGAUAGGCCGGGUGUGUAAGCGCAGCGAUGCGUUGAGCUAACCGGUACUAAUGAACCGUGAGGCUUAACCUU
RNAcentral lists this ribosomal RNA (3018 nucleotides) under Salmonella enterica subsp. salamae serovar Greenside. RNAcentral's name for it is "bacterial LSU rRNA". It matches the Rfam family "Bacterial large subunit ribosomal RNA". Lineage: Bacteria; Pseudomonadati; Pseudomonadota; Gammaproteobacteria; Enterobacterales; Enterobacteriaceae. The record is from RNAcentral.